This is a long non-coding RNA of Zingiber officinale, 1039 nucleotides long. RefSeq lists it as uncharacterized. The transcript has 4 exons. NCBI's taxonomy places the organism in Eukaryota, Viridiplantae, Streptophyta, Magnoliopsida, Zingiberales, Zingiberaceae. The record is from RefSeq and is a predicted model, not a curated record.
GGAGCAGCUGUCCAUUUCGGUCGUCGGCUCAUCGUGCCAUCGAUUCACCACCGGGCAUGGGAGAUCUGGUGUCGCCGAGGUCGUGCACUGGAUUAAAUCCCUUUCUCCUCUAUUCUUAUUACUGUCAUCGUUCGAUCCGUUCACCACCGGUGCUUCUUGUCGCCUUCCCUAGUCGGAUUUCCUCCGCAAGCUGAGGUAGUUGUCGUUGGCCCUUUCCGACCACGAGCCUGCAUCAUUCCUUCAUGGGUGACCUAGUUUUGGAUCCAACGCCGUCUCCUUUCACUGGAGGAUUUUCUACCUUUCUCAUAGCCCUUCCCUAGCCUGGGUCAUUGCUCUAUAUUGCCGGUGUCACCCUACCUUCUACCUUUGCUCAUGAUCACAACAGUAGCACUCAUCUGAGAGGAGUUUAUGGAACUGGAUUGAUUCUUGAAGGCAGUGGUUUCGCUUGGCUUCAACCUUCACAUUUUCGAUCGCUUGUAGCCAUCUUCGCCGGAUCCAUUGUCACCUCGGGCUGUUGAAGACAAAGAGGAUUUGAGUUUGAUGUGAUCUUUUGAACUUGUUGAAGAUGGUUGACAUGGUCGACAGAUAAAGACGGCAGGUAAAGGAUUUAUGGAGUCGCCUGGAGGUCCUGUCCGCCAGUCUCACGUCACAUUCGAGAACGAUCUUAUGAUUUUAGUAUUCCUUUCGCUAUUUAUAUUUUGGUUUUGUACUUGUUCUUGUAUUUGUGUAUUCUGUUAUUUGGAGUAUUGUUUGUGGUAUCUUGUGUUUGGUUUGUCAAUAUUGUGUCAAGCCGAGCCGGCUCGCAGUUAGUUGUUUUGGUGUUUUAUGUUCCUUAUGUUGUGAUGUCGCUGUGUUAUGUUUCAGCCGUGUGGGCUGUAUAUUAAAUCUUCGUGGUUGUGUUAUUUAUCCAGCCGUGUGGGCUGUUAUAUACUGCUGAUGAGUAUGUCUGUGGUUAUAUGUACUUAUGCUUCAUAUUGUCACCGGUACAAGGGAGAUGAUGCCGAAAUUGUCGGUAGGGACGCCUCUAGGGGUGUGACAA